This 1396-nucleotide long non-coding RNA is filed under the name Lepisosteus oculatus (spotted gar). RNAcentral's name for it is "lncRNA (ENSLOCG00000022226.1)". Lineage: Eukaryota; Metazoa; Chordata; Actinopteri; Semionotiformes; Lepisosteidae. The record is from RNAcentral.
UGUGAGUUGCUGUGUGUCAGUGUGUUGUCUGUCAGUUUGUGAGCUGCUGCGUGCCAGUGUGUGUUGUCUGUCAGUUUGUGAGUUGCUGUGUGUGUUGUGUGUCAGUGUGUCAGUUGCUGUGUGACAGUGUGUUGUCUGUCAGUUUGUGAGUUGCUGUGUGACAGUGUGUUGUCUGUUAGUUUGUGAGCUGCUGCGUGCCAGUGUGUGUUGUCUGUCAGUUUGUGAGUCCCUGUGUGACAGUGUGUGUUGUCUGUUUGUUUGUGAGUUGCUGUGUGUGUUGUCUCUUGGUGUAGAGUUUCAGAGACAGCAGCUGCUAUGUGAAGACCUGUGUGUCUAUUUUGGGAUUCCUGCCUGGUCUCUGUGACCUUUAUUAUCACAGAGGGAGAGAGAGGAGCACACUGGCGAUGUGGCACUGAGAGAGCGUCUGGAAACAGAGGGAGGAAUCGCUGAAGGAGUCAGACAGAGACCCGGAGGCUGAGGUUUCUUGCUUUCAGAGUAGCCUGCACUAUUCACAGUGGGUUUUAAUUAGUCAGUUAAUGAAUUGCGAUUUGAAAAUGGACUCACCAGGUGUGGACAGAGACACAAGGGAGCCUACAGCACCUGCUCAGGAGGAUUCAGAGAGCUUGGAACUGACCAACCAAUCUGAAGAGAACCGGGACAAGGAGGAAAGUGGAGCUGGAGAAGGAGGUGUGUCCACAAAGCUGGAAGAUGGGGAUGUGGUCGUGAGAGGAGCUUCUUCUGAAGACAAAGAGGAGGUUGAGGAGUCCCCAGAAGAAACGGUGUCCCUAGGAGGAGAAGGUGAGGCUGUGAAUAGCCAAGACUCCGAAGAACACGUAGAUGAAAAAGAGGAAAGGAUCUGCACACCGGAGCGUGAGUCUAGUGUCCAUCAAGAUCUGCCUUCCUCACAAGAGCACAGUGCCGGCGAGGGCAAGGUGACGCCCACAGCAGACACAGCCAUGAGCGCAGCCAGCGGAGGGAGUGAGACUCCAGAAGAAGGGGAGGUGCCUUCGGAGCACAUGGCCACGCCCACUUCAGACUCAGCAGUGGCUUCGUUCAGUGGAAGGGGCGUGGCUCAAGGCGAAGAGGAGGUAGCCUGUGAGCUCAAGGCCACACCUACAUCAGACACAGAUGGGGUCUCAGUCAGUGGAGGGGGCGUGGCUCAGGGGGAAGAGGAGGUACCCUGUGAGCUCAAGGCCACACCUACAUCAGACACAGAUGGGGUCUCAGUCAGUGGAGGGGGCGUGGCUCAGAGGGAAGGGGAAGUACCCCCGGAGGAGAUGGCAACGCCUACAACAGAGAUGGCUGUGGCUUUGGUCCGUGGAAAGGGCGGAGCUACGGAUGAAGGGGAGGUACCCUCGGAGCACAUGGCCACUCCUACAACAGACACAGCUGUGGC